Molecule: ribosomal RNA, 253 nt
Filed under: uncultured bacterium
Lineage: Bacteria
Description: partial 16S ribosomal RNA
Rfam family: Bacterial small subunit ribosomal RNA
Source: RNAcentral
UACGUAGGUGGCGAGCGUUGUCCGGAUUUAUUGGGUUUAAAGGGUGCGUAGGCGGCCCUGUAAGUCAGUGCUGAAAUAUCCCGGCUUAACUGGGAGGGUGGCAUUGAUACUGUGGGGCUAGAGUACAGAUGAGGUAGGCGGAAUUGACGGUGUAGCGGUGAAAUGCUUAGAUAUCGUCAAGAACACCUAUAGCGAAGGCAGCUUACUAGGCUGUAACUGACGCUGAGGCACGAAAGUGUGGGGAUCAAACAGG